Peromyscus maniculatus bairdii (prairie deer mouse) is the source of this 1277-nucleotide non-coding RNA. The record is from RefSeq and is a predicted model, not a curated record. Lineage: Eukaryota; Metazoa; Chordata; Mammalia; Rodentia; Cricetidae.
CAACAAAAGCCUCGCUUCCGGGACUACGGAACACAGAUGAGUGUUCUAUCACAUUCCUGACCGAUCACUCGUGACCUUCACCAUUGCACCGGCUGGCUUUACGAAGGAAGCCCUGGCUGCUGGACCACCCACGGGAGCCUCAGUAGCCACUGGAAUGGAUUUCUCCACAGCAUUCCCCAUGGAAGGGGACCAUCCAUCGCUCAGACCUUCUGUUUUCCUUAAAGGAAAGGGGUGAUUGCCUCCUCUUGGUUUCCAGCACACCUCUGGAGGCCACGGCCUCUCUACAGUGGAUGCUCAGUCUCUGAGUUCCAGGAGCCACUCCCCAAAUGGAGUCGCUCAUCUAGAAAGUGUUCUUUUCUAUCGACGGUGCCCAAGCACCAGCUCGAAGGAGGAUGUUGGCUGCAUAUGACUCACACUUGGGGCUGGAAACAAAGCAGUGUCCAGGCCACAGUGACACCUCUGCUCACGACAACACCCUGCGGUGGAGCACAUGUGGAGGGAAGGAACCUAGCAUAGUGCUGCAUUCCACCCAACUCUGGGGCAUGCUGGGAGGACAUCCGAAGAACAGACCCACACCAGACAAUGACACCCUCAUCGCUACUGCUGGAAAUGUUCUCAGCAUUUUCAAAGAUCUGAGAGUGGGGCCACUAUACAUCCCCAAGGCCAGACUCAUGGACUGCCGUUCAUCAACUGCUGGCUGUCUGCAUACAGCAAACAUCCCUGACCAGUGAGGCUCCCACGGAAGACUGCUCAGCCUUGGCACGUGUCAUGAUCUGAACGUGCAAUGGAUCCUACAGGCGGGGGAGGACCUAGGAAAGGCCUGUGGAGGCUAACCAUCCUGGGCUGUUUCCGUUUCUCUCUGCUGCACCACCACAGAGGACACUGCCGGGCGCCCGACGCCACGGAGCCUUGCUACGCACUUCAUCCCUGCGGGCCGGCCGGCCUGCGCCUUCUAGAUCUGUGAACAGGAAUAAAGCGUCCCUCCUUCAAGGUGCUCCCAGCAGGCACUCCGUCACAAGGAGAAAGUCAACUAACCCAGUCCUACUGCUAUUGGGGGAGGGGGGCAAACGGUCUUUGUAAUGGGGUUCAUCCUGAAUCACAUGUGUUUAGCUACAUCUCGCCUCUGCCCAUUAACUGCCAGAAAUCCCUCUCUCUCUCAGCUGUGACAACCCAAAAUGUUAAUGGACAUUACCAAAAUUUACCGGGGGGCAAAAUUAUCCAUGGUCAAGAACCAAUGUUCUAUAAGUUUCCAUAUAGAAUUAUUAUGGGCUGCUUUU